GCUCGAGCUCGUGUACAGUUGCUCGUUCGUGUUGGAUUAACCACUUGUUCUGCAUUGGAGUCAUCCUUUCCUACAUUUUGGUGCCGAAACCCGGGAGGCAUACACACCUCUUCUCUUCUGGACGAAAGGAUUCUCCAAUCAUGGACCGCUUAAAACGACAACGGGCCCCUGUCCGCGCCAGGAUCACAAGACUAACCGACGAGAUCAAGGACAUCCUGAAUUCGACAAGCCCCUCUCGACAAGAUCUAGAGCUCAAGCUUUCUCUUCUCACCGGCAAGGCAGCUAUACUCGCAGGUAUGGAUAGCCAGAUUGCAGCCCUUGUGGACGAUGACGAAAUCGGUACCGAAGCCCACAGAACCAGUAACCGCCCCUGGACAGCCGACAAGGGUCCGAGCAUCUACAGCCUAAAGUGAACAUCCAUUGAACGCCUCCUGGACGCGUUAGUUGGGACGCUCCAAUGAGUAUACAGCAGCAGACGUCCCACAUACAUCACCCUGUGGACACCGUGCGCACCCCAUCCGCACUGUGUCCGCAAAGAGCCGUUUGAGCACCCUUUUUCGCUCUUCACCUUCCGCCUCGUUCUUCUCUCCCGCUCUGUCGUCUGACUGCGUAGCCGCCAAAGGAGAAAUCUUCACAGAAGGCUUGUUUUUUCGCAACGCGCAGAAGAGAGAGCCACGUGAUGCCAUAGCCCGUUGUGCGGAUGAUUUCAAACGCCGCUGGAGAGGCUGGUGAAACACGGCGGCGUCUGCAAUGGCUUGGAGUAAUACCGUAAUUUUCCGCGCGACCAGCACCAGUACAGCUUGAAUUUUGUGAAGAGUUAGAUGCACACGCCUUGUAGGUAACGGUUUCUCCAUCGGGGGCCACUAUCUAUGACCGAAAUACAGGCAUGAACGCUUAUACCGCUCAGCAUCGGUCAUUCAUUACUGUGUGCGCCUCAGCGUCUCCCAGAGAGUGCGGAAUGUUUUCUCUAUGAGCAGUCUUGGAAUUAUUUACUGUCUUAUGCGUUACAGUAGGCCUCGGCGGCAGAACUUGGCCAGUGAGCUCCAGAGGCCGGAAGACACAGAAAGGAACAAUAUAAUGAGACCGGUAGCCAUUCAUAAGGCGUGAAGGAGCGUGAGGAUACAGUUGCGCCGAUUCCAUGCAAGAUACCAGCUAAUUAUACGGCGAGUAACGUGGAUGUUUUUUUUUUCUUGUUUACAUAACGUGCCGAUAUUGUGAUCACGAUCUCUAUGAACGGGUAUGAUCUGGAUAUGGCACCUAGUCACGUUCGUUCAUUAUUUGUACUGCUUAUG
Long non-coding RNA from Ornithodoros turicata, 1292 nucleotides. RefSeq lists it as uncharacterized. NCBI's taxonomy places the organism in Eukaryota, Metazoa, Arthropoda, Arachnida, Ixodida, Argasidae. The record is from RefSeq and is a predicted model, not a curated record. The transcript is spliced from 3 exons.